RNAcentral lists this ribosomal RNA (497 nucleotides) under uncultured bacterium. Its description in RNAcentral is "partial 16S ribosomal RNA". It matches the Rfam family "Bacterial small subunit ribosomal RNA", at positions 28 to 507 of the family's 1533-position model. The record is from RNAcentral.
GAUGAACGCUGGCGGCGUGCCUAAUACAUGCAAGUCGAGCGAACGGACGAGAAGCUUGCUUUUCUGAUGUUAGCGGCGGACGGGUGAGUAACACGUGGAUAACCUACCUAUAAGACUGGUAUAACUUCGGGAAACCGGAGCUAAUACCGGAUAAUAUUUUGAACCGCAUGGUUCAAACGUGAAAGACGGUCUUGCUGUCACUUCUCGCUGGAUCCGCGCUGCAUUAGCUAGUUGGUAAGGUAACGGCUUACCAAGGCAACGAUGCAUAGCCGACCUGAGAGGGUGAUCGGCCACCCUGGAACGGAGACACGGUCCAGACGCCUACGGGAGGCAGCAGUAGGGAAUCUUCCGCAAUGGGCGAAAGCCUGACGGAGCAACGCCGCGUGAGUGAUGAAGGUCUUCGGAUCGUAAAACUCUGUUAUUAGGGAAGAACAUAUGUGUAAGUAACUGUGCACAUCUUGACGGUACCUAAUCAGAAAGCCACGGCUAACUACGUG